CGGAGAGUUUGAUCCUGGCUCAGAUUGAACGCUGGCGGCAGGCCUAACACAUGCAAGUCGAGCGGUAGAGAGAAGCUUGCUUCUCUUGAGAGCGGCGGACGGGUGAGUAAUGCCUAGGAAUCUGCCUGGUAGUGGGGGAUAACGUUCGGAAACGGACGCUAAUACCGCAUACGUCCUACGGGAGAAAGCAGGGGACCUUCGGGCCUUGCGCUAUCAGAUGAGCCUAGGUCGGAUUAGCUAGUUGGUGAGGUAAUGGCUCACCAAGGCGACGAUCCGUAACUGGUCUGAGAGGAUGAUCAGUCACACUGGAACUGAGACACGGUCCAGACUCCUACGGGAGGCAGCAGUGGGGAAUAUUGGACAAUGGGCGAAAGCCUGAUCCAGCCAUGCCGCGUGUGUGAAGAAGGUCUUCGGAUUGUAAAGCACUUUAAGUUGGGAGGAAGGGUUGUAGAUUAAUACUCUGCAAUUUUGACGUUACCGACAGAAUAAGCACCGGCUAACUCUGUGCCAGCAGCCGCGGUAAUACAGAGGGUGCAAGCGUUAAUCGGAAUUACUGGGCGUAAAGCGCGCGUAGGUGGUUUGUUAAGUUGGAUGUGAAAUCCCCGGGCUCAACCUGGGAACUGCAUUCAAAACUGACUGACUAGAGUAUGGUAGAGGGUGGUGGAAUUUCCUGUGUAGCGGUGAAAUGCGUAGAUAUAGGAAGGA
This 705-nucleotide ribosomal RNA is filed under the name uncultured bacterium. RNAcentral describes it as "bacterial SSU rRNA". It matches the Rfam family "Bacterial small subunit ribosomal RNA", at positions 1 to 705 of the family's 1533-position model. The record is from RNAcentral.